RNAcentral lists this ribosomal RNA (536 nucleotides) under Staphylococcus sp. RNAcentral describes it as "bacterial SSU rRNA". It matches the Rfam family "Bacterial small subunit ribosomal RNA", at positions 8 to 526 of the family's 1533-position model. The record is from RNAcentral. Lineage: Bacteria; Bacillati; Bacillota; Bacilli; Caryophanales; Staphylococcaceae.
AGAGUUUGAUCAUGGCUCAGGAUGAACGCUGGCGGCGUGCCUAAUACAUGCAAGUCGAGCGAACAGACGAGGAGCUUGCUCCUUUGACGUUAGCGGCGGACGGGUGAGUAACACGUGGGUAACCUACCUAUAAGACUGGGAUAACUUCGGGAAACCGGAGCUAAUACCGGAUAAUAUUUCGAACCGCAUGGUUCGAUAGUGAAAGAUGGUUCUGCUAUCACUUAUAGAUGGACCUGCGCCGUAUUAGCUAGUUGGUAAGGUAACGGCUUACCAAGGCAACGAUACGUAGCCGACCUGAGAGGGUGAUCGGCCACACUGGAACUGAGACACGGUCCAGACUCCUACGGGAGGCAGCAGUAGGGAAUCUUCCGCAAUGGGCGAAAGCCUGACGGAGCAACGCCGCGUGAGUGAUGAAGGUCUUCGGAUCGUAAAACUCUGUUAUUAGGGAAGAACAAACGUGUAAGUAACCGUGCACGUCUUGACGGUACCUAAUCAGAAAGCCACGGCUAACUACGUGCCAGCCGCCGCGGUAAUAC